CCUAAUACAUGCAAGUCAAGGGGAUAGCAAUAUCACCGGCGGACGGGUGCGUAACGCGUACACAACGGUGCCCAAGGGCGGAGGAAAGCGGCGGGAAACUGCCGGUAAUACUCCAUGGUGUUGUUGAGUGGCAUCACUUAACAACUAAAGUACAAGCGCCCUUGGAUCGGUGUGCGUUCGAUUAGCUAGUUGGCGGGGUAACCGGCCCACCAAGGCUUCGAUCGAUAGGGGGUGUGAGAGCAUGACCCCCCACACGGGUACUGAGACACGGACCCGACUCCUACGGGAGGCAGCAGUAAGGAAUAUUGGACAAUGGGCGGAAGCCUGAUCCAGCCAUGCCGCGUGAAGGACGAAGGCGCUCAGCGUUGUAAACUUCUUUUGGAUGGGAACAAUAACUCCGACUUGUCGGAACUUGAGGGUACCAUCAGAAUAAGCACCGGCUAACUCCGUG
RNAcentral lists this ribosomal RNA (451 nucleotides) under uncultured bacterium. RNAcentral describes it as "bacterial SSU rRNA". It matches the Rfam family "Bacterial small subunit ribosomal RNA", at positions 47 to 507 of the family's 1533-position model. The record is from RNAcentral.